This 494-nucleotide ribosomal RNA is filed under the name uncultured bacterium. RNAcentral's name for it is "partial 16S ribosomal RNA". It matches the Rfam family "Bacterial small subunit ribosomal RNA", at positions 28 to 523 of the family's 1533-position model. The record is from RNAcentral.
GAUGAACGCUGGCGGCGUGCCUAACACAUGCAAGUCGAACGGAGCUGCUUUGAUGAAGUUUUCGGAUGGAUUUAAAACAGCUUAGUGGCGGACGGGUGAGUAACGCGUGGGUAACCUGCCUCACACUGGGGGAUAACAGUUAGAAAUAGCUGCUAAUACCGCAUAAGCGCACAGUUCCGCAUGGAACAGUGUGAAAAACUCCGGUGGUGUGAGAUGGACCCGCGUCUGAUUAGCCAGUUGGCGGGGUAACGGCCCACCAAAGCGACGAUCAGUAGCCGGCCUGAGAGGGUGAACGGCCACAUUGGGACUGAGACACGGCCCAAACUCCUACGGGAGGCAGCAGUGGGGAAUAUUGCACAAUGGGGGAAACCCUGAUGCAGCGACGCCGCGUGAGUGAAGAAGUAUUUCGGUAUGUAAAGCUCUAUCAGCAGGGAAGAAAGUGACGGUACCUGAAUAAGAAGCCCCGGCUAACUACGUGCCAGCCGCCGCAGUAA